AUGAUAGAGGCGCGAAAACUAAGAGUAAAUACAGUUUUCUCUGGCAAUCGAAUCGUAUUGAAAGGAGUUUUCGCCGAAGCUUUAAAGGCUUGCCAAUGCCUUUACUGCUGGCUGUAUGCAGAAUAUGUAUGCGGCUGUCACAUAGUAUUUGUGGAGUGCUAUCA
RNAcentral lists this non-coding RNA (164 nucleotides) under bovine gut metagenome. RNAcentral describes it as "Lysine riboswitch". It matches the Rfam family "Lysine riboswitch aptamer". From Rfam's summary of the family: Riboswitches are metabolite binding domains within certain messenger RNAs that serve as precision sensors for their corresponding targets. The record is from RNAcentral.